RNAcentral lists this ribosomal RNA (403 nucleotides) under uncultured Victivallis sp. RNAcentral describes it as "partial 16S ribosomal RNA". It matches the Rfam family "Bacterial small subunit ribosomal RNA", at positions 355 to 774 of the family's 1533-position model. Lineage: Bacteria; Pseudomonadati; Lentisphaerota; Lentisphaeria; Victivallales; Victivallaceae. The record is from RNAcentral.
UCGAGAAUCUUGGGCAAUGCGCGAAAGCGUGACCCAGCAAUGCCGCGUGCGGGAUGAAGGUCUUCGGAUUGUAAACCGCUGUCACUCGGGACGAAAAAUGACGGUACCGAGGGAGGAAGCCACGGCUAACUACGUGCCAGCAGCCGCGGUAAUACGUAGGUGGCGAGCGUUGUUCGGAUUUAUUGGGCGUAAAGGGUCCGCAGGAGGUUUGUUAAGUUCGAAGUGAAAUCCCGGAGCUCAACUCCGGAACUGCUUUGGAGACUGACGAACUAGAGUGCUGGAGAGGUAAGCGGAAUUCCAGGUGUAGCGGUGGAAUGCGUAGAUAUCUGGAAGAACACCAAAAGCGAAGGCAGCUUACUGGACAGCAACUGACUCUCAGGGACGAAAGCGUGGGGAGCAAACA